This 76-nucleotide transfer RNA is filed under the name Candidatus Zixiibacteriota bacterium. Its description in RNAcentral is "candidate division Zixibacteria bacterium tRNA-Ala". It matches the Rfam family "tRNA". Rfam says of the family: Transfer RNA (tRNA) molecules are approximately 80 nucleotides in length. Their secondary structure includes four short double-helical elements and three loops (D, anti-codon, and T loops). Lineage: Bacteria; Pseudomonadati; Candidatus Zixiibacteriota. The record is from RNAcentral.
GGGGCCAUAGCUCAGUUGGGAGAGCGCUUGACUGGCAGUCAAGAGGUCGGGAGUUCGAACCUCCCUGGCUCCACCA